Castor canadensis (American beaver) is the source of this 420-nucleotide non-coding RNA. Lineage: Eukaryota; Metazoa; Chordata; Mammalia; Rodentia; Castoridae. The record is from RefSeq and is a predicted model, not a curated record.
AACGUUUUCAUGCAGCCACAAGGCUCCUGAAGCGCUCCUGAGUUCUCACCCGCUGCUCCCUCAGCUGUGGAGCCCUGGGUUCCAGUCAGUGAAGAAAACAUAAGCAAGGCCCCCAGAAUCUCUACCCUGGCUGAUUGAAGAUGGCCUGCUGUAUAAAUACAAUCUGCAAGACUGGGAGAGGUGAAUGUUUCUUCAAAUGUUCAAAUUCCAACAAAAACACCAAGACAUAAGAAGAAACAGAGAAACAGCCCAAAUUGCUCAAGCACUCAGAGAAUGAAACAGUGGUUAGCAUGGGCAAGAGAGGAAAUGUGGAGAUGGAGGUCAAAGGACACAGAAUAGCAGAUGUGGAGGAUGGACUUGUACAACAUGAGGAAAUCUUGAGAGGAUUCCAAGAUGGCGGCUAGAGGGAGGAAGCAGAAA